RNAcentral lists this ribosomal RNA (422 nucleotides) under uncultured bacterium. Its description in RNAcentral is "bacterial SSU rRNA". It matches the Rfam family "Bacterial small subunit ribosomal RNA", at positions 358 to 771 of the family's 1533-position model. The record is from RNAcentral.
GGAAUCUUGCGCAAUGGCCGAAAGGCUGACGCAGCGACGCCGCGUGCGGGAUGAAGCUUCUCGGAGUGUAAACCGCUGUCAGGUGGGACGAAGGUCCCGAUCAGGAAAUGGGUUGGGGAUGACGGUACCACCAAAGGAAGCACCGGCUAACUUCGUGCCAGCAGCCGCGGUAAUACGAAGGGUGCGAGCGUUGUUCGGAAUUAUUGGGCGUAAAGCGCACGUAGGCGGCCUUGUAAGUCUCACUGUGAAAGUCCGGGGCUCAACCCCGGGAUGCCAGGGGAUACUGCGAGGCUCGAGACAAGUAGAGGUUGGUAGAAUUCCGGGUGUAGCGGUGGAAUGCGUAGAGAUCCGGAGGAAUACCAGAGGCGAAGGCGGCCAACUGGGCUUGUUCUGACGCUGAGGUGCGAAAGCGUGGGGAGCGA